CAGCGCCUGCAGCAUGACAGCCAAGGCCGCCAUGCCCGUGCGCUUUAUGAAUCUGGUCGAGCCGCUGGGCGCCUCCAAACCUGCAGGCCCCACCGCCAGGCGCACCACGGAUACCACCGCGCGGCACACCAGCGCGGCCUGGUCCGGCGCAGUUUCCCAACUGAUCGGCGCAAGCCUUCGGCGGGGCGACGUAGAUAGCUCGACGCUUCG
RNAcentral lists this non-coding RNA (210 nucleotides) under unclassified sequences. RNAcentral describes it as "RT-15 RNA". It matches the Rfam family "RT-15 RNA". Rfam says of the family: Proteobacteria. The record is from Rfam by way of RNAcentral.